UACGUAGGGUGCGAGCGUUAAUCGGAAUUACUGGGCGUAAAGCGUGCGCAGGCGGCUCUUCUAAGUCAGAUGUGAAAGCCCCGGGCUUAACCUGGGAAUUGCGUUUGAAACUGGAGGGCUGGAGUGUGGCAGAGGGAGGUGGAAUUCCACGUGUAGCAGUGAAAUGCGUAGAGAUGUGGAGGAACACCGAUGGCGAAGGCAGCCUCCUGGGCCAACACUGACGCUCAUGCACGAAAGCGUGGGGAGCAAACAGGAUUAGAUACCCUGGUAGUCCACGCCCUAAACGAUGUCGACUAGUUGUUGGGGAAGGAAACUUCCUUAGUAACGAAGCUAACGCGUGAAGUCGACCGCCUGGGGAGUACGGCCGCAAGGUUAAA
RNAcentral lists this ribosomal RNA (377 nucleotides) under uncultured bacterium. RNAcentral describes it as "bacterial SSU rRNA". It matches the Rfam family "Bacterial small subunit ribosomal RNA", at positions 524 to 898 of the family's 1533-position model. The record is from RNAcentral.